RNAcentral lists this ribosomal RNA (30 nucleotides) under Sticta sp. RNAcentral's name for it is "partial 18S ribosomal RNA". The record is from RNAcentral. Lineage: Eukaryota; Fungi; Ascomycota; Lecanoromycetes; Peltigerales; Lobariaceae.
UUMGUAGGUGAACCUGCGGAAGGAUCAUUA